GAGGACAAAUGUGGUACAAACCCCCAAAUUUUUGUCAGUCCUUCAAUCUGCUUGCACCAAAGGCUGGCAAAUCUUAAGGUUUCUAAGAACUCUUAAGGGCAUUAAUAUCAAGCUGUUUUGAAGUGUAACGAUAUUUCAGUAGUUGAUUUUUAAGGCAGAUCUUCUGACUGCAUGAUAUAACUUGUUCUUACUGUUUCUGUAAUAUUUGUUGAUAUUUUUGCCACGUAAUAACCUACUUUAUUAUGAGUAUGUGUCCACAGCAGAUGAGCAGAAUUGCUGAAACUUGGUUUGACGUUGUGCUCCAGACAGUUAUUACUCUAAAGGAAAUAACAAGUUGUUAUGUCUUGAGAACAAGAGAAAAUACAGGAUUGUGAACAAAGUGAGGAACUCUUACUGGACAAAAACUAGAGGGAGCUGCUACACAACUUCUCAUUGCUCACGAGGUAUGUUUGCACUCCUGAGAAUGCUCCUGCCAAUGUCACUGAAGGCCAUAUAAGCCUGCAAACAAAAAAACCUCAACUGUAUCGAGUCCUGCCCUAUUAAAGGGUAAAAAUACCACCAGACAGCAGUAAGGUAAUCCAUAGGGAAUGACUUUAAAAUUUUUAAGAGGUUACUAAGUUUGAACAUAAUUAUUUAAAAUGUCAAAGAUUCAGUUGUAGUUUGCAGCUCUAAGUAAUUUCAAAAGAUGCACUUAUGUGCUUUUAAUAUGGAGCUUUCCUUGCUAUAGGUCAAAAAUUUGUACAGAUUAAAUGCUUUCUAAUUCUUUCACAGCAGGUUAAAAUUCAUCUGAAUAAGUGGCACAAAGAUUGUUUUCCUGUUCUUUAAUAUAAGUGAUCAACUUCUUACUUGUUAUAAGUGCAUGUUGUGGGAUACUCUUAAUCUCUUGCUGAGUGUGUGCCUUCUCUGUAUUGUAUUUGGUUCUCAAUUGUUUUAAUGCUCAGCACUUCAUUUGCUUUAAGUUCAGAAAUUGCAGUCUUGUGAGAGGGAGAAUGUGCCACAUGUGUGCUUUUCUUUGUCUAGAAAUUAAGAAUGCUGGUAAGACAUUCAGUGGGCCAUUCAGUGGGACAAAGUAAGACAUUCAGUGGAAUUGAAGCACAGUCCUUUGGACAGCAAGAUGUCCCCAAGCACCACUUGAGUUCUUGUUGCCUGGUGAGCUUGUGGCUACUGCUUCUGCUGUCCUGGAACCCUUCUUGUCUCUAUAACAGUUUUUCUGUUCUCAGCCUCACACUGUAACUGCAUUGCAUUGUGGUCAGAGUGUAACUCGGUGCCAUCUUUUGCAGCAGUGUCAUAAGUUGUUGGCCUUUUGGCUUAGAGAACUGAAGUGGAAAUGUGUUAGAAAGCAAUACUUAGAUGUACUGGAAAACAGUGCUUGUGGUCAUUCCUUCUGAAUGAGGCUAGGGGAGAAAGGUACAUCUAGAAGGCAGCUUGUGCUCUCAGCACCCCAAAACUGACCUUACUCCAGAAGAAUUGUCAAAAAUGUGUAUCUCUACUUUUGGGACUUACAAUAGCCUCAGGAUAAACAUACUGUGCUUAUCAUAUACCUCUCUUUUAAAUGAUUUAUGUCUUCCCUGAUACUUGAACUUUGAUAAAAGGCAGUAGUAUUUUUCAGUAGUAGUCACGAGUUAAUUUUUGGUCAACUUACCUGGAG
Molecule: long non-coding RNA, 1648 nt
Organism: Gallus gallus (chicken)
Lineage: Eukaryota; Metazoa; Chordata; Aves; Galliformes; Phasianidae
Source: Ensembl